UACAGAGGUCUCAAGCGUUGUUCGGAUUCAUUGGGCGUAAAGGGCGCGUAGGCGGUGGGGUAAGUCUGGUGUGAAAUCUCGGAGCUCAACUUCGAAAUUGCACUGGAUACUGCUCUGCUAGAGGGCUGGAGAGGAGAUCGGAAUUCACGGUGUAGCAGUGAAAUGCGUAGAUAUCGUGAGGAAGACCAGUGGCGAAGGCGGCGCUCUGGGCCGGUACUGACGCUGAGGAGCGAAAGCGUGGGGAGCAAACAGG
Molecule: ribosomal RNA, 253 nt
Filed under: uncultured bacterium
Lineage: Bacteria
Description: partial 16S ribosomal RNA
Rfam family: Bacterial small subunit ribosomal RNA
Source: RNAcentral